This 935-nucleotide ribosomal RNA is filed under the name uncultured Acidobacteriaceae bacterium. Its description in RNAcentral is "bacterial SSU rRNA". It matches the Rfam family "Bacterial small subunit ribosomal RNA", at positions 56 to 1026 of the family's 1533-position model. Lineage: Bacteria; Pseudomonadati; Acidobacteriota; Terriglobia; Terriglobales; Acidobacteriaceae. The record is from RNAcentral.
UGCAAGUCGAACGAGAAAGCCGCAAGGCAAGUAAAGUGGCGUACGGGUGAGUAACACGUGGAUAAUCUGCCUUUUAGUGGGGAAUACCGUUGGGAAACCGACGACAAUACCGCAUAAUCCCGAGAGGGGAAAGCAGCAAUGCGCUGAAAGAGGAGUCCGCGGUCGAUUAGUUAGUUGGCGGGGUAAAAGCCCACCAAGACUGUGAUCGAUAGCCGGCCUGAGAGGGCACACGGCCACACUGGCACUGAAACACGGGCCAGACUCCUACGGGAGGCAGCAGUGGGGAAUCUUGCACAAUGGGGGAAACCCUGAUGCAGCGACGCCGCGUGAGCGAUGAAGCCCUUCGGGGUGUAAAGCUCUUUCGUCGGGGAAGACAAUGACGGUACCCGGAGAAGCAGCUGCGGCUAACUACGUGCCAGCAGCCGCGGUAAUACGUAGGCAGCAAGCGUUGUUCGGAGUUACUGGGCGUAAAGGGUGCGUAGGCGGCUAUUUAAGUUUGGUGUGAAAUCUCCCGGCUCAACCGGGAGGGUGCGCCGAAUACUGAGUGGCUAGAGUGCGGGAGAGGAAAGUGGAAUUCCUGGUGUAGCGGUGAAAUGCGUAGAUAUCAGGAGGAACACCGGUGGUGUAAACGGCUUUCUGGACCGUAACUGACGCUGAGGCACGAAAGCGUGGGUAGCAAACAGGAUUAGAUACCCUGGUAGUCCACGCCCUAAACGAUGCAUAUUUGGUGUGGGCCAUUCAUUUGGUCUGUGCCGGAGCUAACGCGUUAAAUAUGCCGCCUGGGGAGUACAGUCGCAAGGCUGAAACUCAAAGGAAUUGACGGGGACCCGCACAAGCGGUGGAGCAUGUGGUUUAAUUCGACGCAACGCGAAGAACCUUACCUGGGCUCGAAAUGCUAAGGACCAGCUUAUGAAAGUAGGCCUUCCCGCAAGGGA